UCGAUCUCUAUCUAUAUCUAUAUCUGUAUCUUUCUCCAUAUCCAUAUUUCUCUCCUUUUUACAUCUUUACUCUUUUAUUCCAAACUCUAAUUAUUACAGCUGCUUUAUCGAUUCACUCCUUUUUGGGACUUCUGCAGUGCAUCUUAAAAAGCAUUGUUUUUUUUGACCGAUGGAUUUGGAAAUGGCGGAUUCUUCUAGGGUUUUGAGUUCAAGCUUAAUUUCUGUUACCCCUUAGGUAACCACUUUCAAUUUCAUUGAUCCAUCAUUAUUUUUUGGUUUAAUUAGUUUGAUUUUUGUGUACAUCUUUAUGGAAGAACAGAUGGGAGAUUAUCAUAAAAAUUUCUGAAAUUUCUACGAAGACUGCACAUAUUUUUAUGUGUAAAAAAUAUACACAUAAAAAUUUCUACAAGGAGGCAAUCCUGUUAGGAUAUUUACAAGUCAGGCACAGACGCCGAACUACUGUUCCUCUACGUAUGGAAUCUCUUAUACAUCUUUUCAGCAAUAGUGUUUAAUAAUUGCUUUAGGUUUAUUUCUCUAGAUUUGUUUACUGAUCAACGUUGUUAAGAUAAUUGCUCAAUUUAAAGUCCAAAGGAAGGUUAUUUUACAGAUGAUAUGGCUUAAUCGAUAUACUUGUUUAGCUGUUUGAGUAUUUCUGUUUUUUAUCAUGUGUGAAUGUUAAGAUUUAAUUUUUGAGAUAAAUUUGGUUUGAAUUUAGAGAUAGGUCAUUAUAUUAUUUUGUAUAAUUAUAUUUUUAUAUUUUCUCACAAGAUUUCCGUAGGAUUUCGUGACUAUUUUGUAAUUAGGUUUUUUUGAUCUUUGAAGCUACAUUUUAGUUGAAUUUUCACCGACACACUACUCAACGUCCAUAUAAUAACCUGAUGCUUUGCUUUUCAUGAUCUGUUCUUGGCUUGUUGAUAAUUUUUUUUCUCAAGUUUAUUUCUUUUUAUGUCAUACAGCUCUAGCGCUUCUUUGCUAGCUGAAAAGUGAAUAUUUUUUUGGGGCAACUUCUAAAUUAAUGAAAAUUAUCUCAUUUUAUUGUUUGUUUGAUUCUGUUCAUUGUACAACCAUUAUGUGUGGUGUUUUAAUUUCUGAAUUUAAUUUGCCACAAAUUUUAGUGCGGCAGUCAUUGAUGAGGCUGGAGAUAUUUAAAUUUUAAUGGUAAGAGGGGGCAUUUGGUCCACUCAGAGCUUGCGGUGUAGAAAUUUAAGUCUCUCAGCUUCUAUUUUCAAGAGUUGGGGCUUCUUUUGAAUCAAUGUCACCGCUCUUCUAUUUUUCUUGAUAAUUUUGGCAUUGUAUUUGCACAAUGCCAUUUAGAAUAAUGGAUCAAAGGGAUGCUAGUAUGCCAUUUUCUUUCUGAG
This 1358-nucleotide long non-coding RNA is filed under the name Panax ginseng (ginseng). RNAcentral describes it as "long non-coding RNA (PGIN_LNC011201)". The record is from RNAcentral. Lineage: Eukaryota; Viridiplantae; Streptophyta; Magnoliopsida; Apiales; Araliaceae.